GGGAGCCGGGAGCUGUCUUGUGUAGUACUUGGAUGGGAGACCGCCUGGGAGUACCAGGUGCUGUAAGCCUUUUC
RNAcentral lists this ribosomal RNA (74 nucleotides) under Hime japonica. Lineage: Eukaryota; Metazoa; Chordata; Actinopteri; Aulopiformes; Aulopidae. The record is from RNAcentral.